Hypanus sabinus (Atlantic stingray) is the source of this 1086-nucleotide long non-coding RNA. RefSeq lists it as uncharacterized. The record is from RefSeq and is a predicted model, not a curated record. NCBI's taxonomy places the organism in Eukaryota, Metazoa, Chordata, Chondrichthyes, Myliobatiformes, Dasyatidae. The transcript is spliced from 2 exons.
UACCCGUGGGUGUCUUGUACCUGUCACGUGACCAUGAUGUAAUUGAAGCUAUGCUGGAGAUGAGGUAAUGGUCUUAUGAUGGUGGAGUGACGUCAUUUUCCCGCCAGUGAGAGGUCAUGUGAUAGUUUUUUUUUUCAACAGGGUAUGAAAGGAGAACCCCACCCUGUGACGUGGGUAGUUCAUGGCUGAAUUCGCCACUGACUCCAUGCUGCUGCAUAUUCUGACAUUAUGAUGCAGUUUCAUUUAAAAGUGGAGUUUUACUUUCUGUUUUAAGUCUCAAAGGUUAUUGCUGGCAGUUUCGCUAUAAUACUGCCAGUUUGGUCAGUGGAGAGUGAAGAUUUUAAAGGAGCUCAGAAAUCCCGAAGGUUUGGGAAAGUUAAUGUCGACGGUGAAACAGAUUCGACCUUUGUUUAAUCUUCACACAAGGAAUUAGUAACGAGUAUCCAUGACAACCCCUGUUCCGUCAGAAGAGCAGAGGGUUGGAUACAAAGUUUCAUUAAAGACAGGUUAUAUAAUGGAUUGGUAUGCAAAGACCAAUGCCCAGCUAUGGAAAAGCCGACAAAAACAGUAGUGGAUGCAAUCUAGUCCAUUACAGGAAAAGUCCUCUCCACCACCAAGCACAUCUACAAGGAGAGCUGCCACAGGAUAGCAGCAUCCAUCAGCAAGGAACCCCCCCGCCCCCAUCCAGCUCAUGCUCCCUUCUUGCUGCUGCUGUCAAGGAGGUGAUACAGGAGCCCUAGAUCCCAUACCACCAGGUUCAGAAACAUUUAUUACCCUUCAACCAUGUGGUUCCUGAACCAGUGUGGAUCACUUAACCCACCUCAACGCUGAACAGACUCCUCAACCUUUGGACUAACUUUCAAGGACUCUACAACACAAGUCUUCAAUAUUAUUUAUUUAUUUUUCAGUUGAACAGUUCAUCUUCAUUUACACUUUGGUUGUUCAUCACUUUUAGUUUGUGUGUAGUUUAUCACUCAUUCUAUUGUAUUUAUUUGUUCUACUGUGAAUGCCUGCAAGAAAGUGAAAAUGAAAAUGAGUAUUGAUGGCAUACACGUAUACCUUGAUAAUAAAAUUAUUUACCUUGAA